GGUCAAGUUAUUAAGGGUGCAGGGCGGAUGCCUUGGCACUAGGAGCCGAUGAAGGACGUGAUAAGCUGCGAUAAGCUUCGGGGAGUUGCACGUAAACUUUGAUCCGAAGAUUUCCGAAUGAGGAAACUCACUUAGAGUAAUGUCUAAGUAUCAUUAAGUGAAUACAUAGCUUAAUGAGGGGAACUCAGGGAACUGAAACAUCUAAGUACCUGAAGGAAGAGAAAGAAAUUCGAUUCCGUAAGUAGCGGCGAGCGAACGCGGAUUAGCCCAAA
RNAcentral lists this ribosomal RNA (272 nucleotides) under Clostridioides difficile. RNAcentral describes it as "partial 23S ribosomal RNA". It matches the Rfam family "Bacterial large subunit ribosomal RNA", at positions 1 to 273 of the family's 2925-position model. Lineage: Bacteria; Bacillati; Bacillota; Clostridia; Peptostreptococcales; Peptostreptococcaceae. The record is from RNAcentral.